AAACUUUCAACAAUGGAUCUCUUGGCUCUCGUAUCGAUGAAGAACGCAGCGAAAUGCGAUAAGUAAUAUGAAUUGCAGAAUUCCGUGAAUCAUCAAAUUUUUGAACGCAAAUUGCACUUCUUGGUAUUCCGAGGAGUACACAUGCUUGAGGGUCAGUU
This 158-nucleotide ribosomal RNA is filed under the name Gigaspora rosea. RNAcentral describes it as "5.8S ribosomal RNA". It matches the Rfam family "5.8S ribosomal RNA". Rfam says of the family: 5.8S ribosomal RNA (5.8S rRNA) is a component of the large subunit of the eukaryotic ribosome. It is transcribed by RNA polymerase I as part of the 45S precursor that also contains 18S and 28S rRNA. Functionally, it is thought that 5.8S rRNA may be involved in ribosome translocation. The record is from RNAcentral. Lineage: Eukaryota; Fungi; Glomeromycota; Glomeromycetes; Diversisporales; Gigasporaceae.